AGUGAACGCUGGCGGUAGGCCUAACACAUGCAAGUCGAACGGCAGCACAGUAAGAGCUUGCUCUUACGGGUGGCGAGUGGCGGACGGGUGAGGAAUACAUCGGAAUCUACUUUUUCGUGGGGGAUAACGUAGGGAAACUUACGCUAAUACCGCAUACGACCUACGGGUGAAAGCAGGGGAUCUUCGGACCUUGCGCGAUUGAAUGAGCCGAUGUCGGAUUAGCUAGUUGGCGGGGUAGAGGCCCACCAAGGCGACGAUCCGUAGCUGGCCUGAGAGGAUGAUCAGCCACACUGGAACUGAGACACGGUCCAGACUCCUACGGGAGGCAGCAGUGGGGAAUAUUGGACAAUGGGCGCAAGCCUGAUCCAGCCAUACCGCGUGGGUGAAGAAGGCCUUCGGGUUGUAAAGCCCUUUUGUUGGGAAAGAAAAGCAGCAGGUUAAUACCCCGCUGUUCUGACGGUACCCAAAGAAUAAGCACCGGCUAACUUCG
RNAcentral lists this ribosomal RNA (490 nucleotides) under uncultured bacterium. Its description in RNAcentral is "partial 16S ribosomal RNA". It matches the Rfam family "Bacterial small subunit ribosomal RNA", at positions 29 to 505 of the family's 1533-position model. The record is from RNAcentral.